Long non-coding RNA from Choloepus didactylus (southern two-toed sloth), 559 nucleotides. RefSeq lists it as uncharacterized. NCBI's taxonomy places the organism in Eukaryota, Metazoa, Chordata, Mammalia, Pilosa, Megalonychidae. The record is from RefSeq and is a predicted model, not a curated record. The transcript has 4 exons.
CCUGUGCCUGAAACUGCAGGAUUCUGGGUUACAGAUGGAAGGGAGUUCCUAAUAUAGCUACUACUUUUGUAGGAAGUAAAGUCAAAGUUCUGUGAGGUUGUAAAAGACGCAUUGACACUAGACCAGACACUUGGAUUUUCACAGAUCCAGCCAUACUUGCUUGCUUUGACAGUGGUGAACCUUAUAAGCAAUUUGCAAGGCAGCUGGCAGGGAAUUGUAAAUCCAACCUGGAGUCUUUAAUUUUGUCAAGAACACCUGAGGAAAAGGGGUGCCUUACUUACUCAAAUGCUGUGAGUGAUCAUUGAGACUGAUGCCCAGGAAUCCUUUCUGACUUCAUAGCCAUUGGCGAUAUUGCCCACCGAAGUCAAGAGAAAUUUGUUCCCAGCAUCCCACAUCACAACCCAGCAUGCAUUUUCCAAUGGAAAGCAGCCCUUCAGUAGGGCCUACAUAAUGGUAUGGAUGUAUAGUUGAAAAAGAGCCAUCAGCAUCAUGGUUCAGGUUCUGUUGAAUUCCAGCUUCUGGAAGUUCCCUGUGCCUUCUUUUUUUCUGUGUCCAAUUU